UAACCAUGGUGAGGACAUUGUUACAAUAAACCUUUAAAUAUACCCCCAUGCUUCAAAUAAUGACUCUCUAUUUGUCUGUGAAAAGCUUGUGACUUUAUUCCUUAGAUA
Small nucleolar RNA from Zingiber officinale, 108 nucleotides. The record is from RefSeq and is a predicted model, not a curated record. Lineage: Eukaryota; Viridiplantae; Streptophyta; Magnoliopsida; Zingiberales; Zingiberaceae.